This 2901-nucleotide ribosomal RNA is filed under the name Escherichia coli. Its description in RNAcentral is "bacterial LSU rRNA". It matches the Rfam family "Bacterial large subunit ribosomal RNA". The record is from RNAcentral. Lineage: Bacteria; Pseudomonadati; Pseudomonadota; Gammaproteobacteria; Enterobacterales; Enterobacteriaceae.
UUAAGCGACUAAGCGUACACGGUGGAUGCCCUGGCAGUCAGAGGCGAUGAAGGACGUGCUAAUCUGCGAUAAGCGUCGGUGAGGUGAUAUGAACCGUUAUAACCGGCGAUUUCCGAAUGGGGAAACCCAGUGUGAUUCGUCACACUAUCAUUAACUGAAUCCAUAGGUUAAUGAGGCGAACCGGGGGAACUGAAACAUCUAAGUACCCCGAGGAAAAGAAAUCAACCGAGAUUCCCCCAGUAGCGGCGAGCGAACGGGGAGGAGCCCAGAGCCUGAAUCAGUGUGUGUGUUAGUGGAAGCGUCUGGAAAGGCGCGCGAUACAGGGUGACAGCCCCGUACACAAAAAUGCACAUAUUGUGAGCUCGAUGAGUAGGGCGGGACACGUGGUAUCCUGUCUGAAUAUGGGGGGACCAUCCUCCAAGGCUAAAUACUCCUGACUGACCGAUAGUGAACCAGUACCGUGAGGGAAAGGCGAAAAGAACCCCGGCGAGGGGAGUGAAAAAGAACCUGAAACCGUGUACGUACAAGCAGUGGGAGCCUCUUAAUGGGGUGACUGCGUACCUUUUGUAUAAUGGGUCAGCGACUUAUAUUCUGUAGCAAGGUUAACCGAAUAGGGGAGCCGAAGGGAAACCGAGUCUUAACUGGGCGUUAAGUUGCAGGGUAUAGACCCGAAACCCGGUGAUCUAGCCAUGGGCAGGUUGAAGGUUGGGUAACACUAACUGGAGGACCGAACCGACUAAUGUUGAAAAAUUAGCGGAUGACUUGUGGCUGGGGGUGAAAGGCCAAUCAAACCGGGAGAUAGCUGGUUCUCCCCGAAAGCUAUUUAGGUAGCGCCUCGUGAAUUCAUCUCCGGGGGUAGAGCACUGUUUCGGCAAGGGGGUCAUCCCGACUUACCAACCCGAUGCAAACUGCGAAUACCGGAGAAUGUUAUCACGGGAGACACACGGCGGGUGCUAACGUCCGUCGUGAAGAGGGAAACAACCCAGACCGCCAGCUAAGGUCCCAAAGUCAUGGUUAAGUGGGAAACGAUGUGGGAAGGCCCAGACAGCCAGGAUGUUGGCUUAGAAGCAGCCAUCAUUUAAAGAAAGCGUAAUAGCUCACUGGUCGAGUCGGCCUGCGCGGAAGAUGUAACGGGGCUAAACCAUGCACCGAAGCUGCGGCAGCGACACUAUGUGUUGUUGGGUAGGGGAGCGUUCUGUAAGCCUGUGAAGGUGGCCUGUGAGGGUUGCUGGAGGUAUCAGAAGUGCGAAUGCUGACAUAAGUAACGAUAAAGCGGGUGAAAAGUCCGCUCGCCGGAAGACCAAGGGUUCCUGUCCAACGUUAAUCGGGGCAGGGUGAGUCGACCCCUAAGGCGAGGCCGAAAGGCGUAGUCGAUGGGAAACAGGUUAAUAUUCCUGUACUUGGUGUUACUGCGAAGGGGGACGGAGAAGGCUAUGUUGGCCGGGCGACGGUUGUCCCGGUUUAAGCGUGUAGGCUGGUUUUCCAGGCAAAUCCGGAAAAUCAAGGCUGAGGCGUGAUGACGAGGCACUACGGUGCUGAAGCGACAAAUGCCCUGCUUCCAGGAAAAGCCUCUAAGCAUCAGGUAACAUCAAAUCGUACCCCAAACCGACACAGGUGGUCAGGUAGAGAAUACCAAGGCGCUUGAGAGAACUCGGGUGAAGGAACUAGGCAAAAUGGUGCCGUAACUUCGGGAGAAGGCACGCUGAUAUGUAGGUGAAGCGACUUGCUCGUGGAGCUGAAAUCAGUCGAAGAUACCAGCUGGCUGCAACUGUUUAUUAAAAACACAGCACUGUGCAAACACGAAAGUGGACGUAUACGGUGUGACGCCUGCCCGGUGCCGGAAGGUUAAUUGAUGGGGUUAGCGGUAACGCGAAGCUCUUGAUCGAAGCCCCGGUAAACGGCGGCCGUAACUAUAACGGUCCUAAGGUAGCGAAAUUCCUUGUCGGGUAAGUUCCGACCUGCACGAAUGGCGUAAUGAUGGCCAGGCUGUCUCCACCCGAGACUCAGUGAAAUUGAACUCGCUGUGAAGAUGCAGUGUACCCGCGGCAAGACGGAAAGACCCCGUGAACCUUUACUAUAGCUUGACACUGAACAUUGAGCCUUGAUGUGUAGGAUAGGUGGGAGGCUUUGAAGUGUGGACGCCAGUCUGCAUGGAGCCGACCUUGAAAUACCACCCUUUAAUGUUUGAUGUUCUAACGUGGGCCCCUUACCGGGGGUGCGGACAGUGUCUGGUGGGUAGUUUGACUGGGGCGGUCUCCUCCUAAAGAGUAACGGAGGAGCACGAAGGUUGGCUAAUCCUGGUCGGACAUCAGGAGGUUAGUGCAAUGGCAUAAGCCAGCUUGACUGCGAGCGUGACGGCGCGAGCAGGUGCGAAAGCAGGUCAUAGUGAUCCGGUGGUUCUGAAUGGAAGGGCCAUCGCUCAACGGAUAAAAGGUACUCCGGGGAUAACAGGCUGAUACCGCCCAAGAGUUCAUAUCGACGGCGGUGUUUGGCACCUCGAUGUCGGCUCAUCACAUCCUGGGGCUGAAGUAGGUCCCAAGGGUAUGGCUGUUCGCCAUUUAAAGUGGUACGCGAGCUGGGUUUAGAACGUCGUGAGACAGUUCGGUCCCUAUCUGCCGUGGGCGCUGGAGAACUGAGGGGGGCUGCUCCUAGUACGAGAGGACCGGAGUGGACGCAUCACUGGUGUUCGGGUUGUCAUGCCAAUGGCACUGCCCGGUAGCUAAAUGCGGAAGAGAUAAGUGCUGAAAGCAUCUAAGCACGAAACUUGCCCCGAGAUGAGUUCUCCCUGACUCCUUGAGAGUCCUGAAGGAACGUUGAAGACGACGACGUUGAUAGGCCGGGUGUGUAAGCGCAGCGAUGCGUUGAGCUAACCGGUACUAAUGAACCGUGAGGCUUAACCUU